Mercurialis annua (annual mercury) is the source of this 925-nucleotide long non-coding RNA. RefSeq lists it as uncharacterized. NCBI's taxonomy places the organism in Eukaryota, Viridiplantae, Streptophyta, Magnoliopsida, Malpighiales, Euphorbiaceae. The record is from RefSeq and is a predicted model, not a curated record. The transcript has 4 exons.
AAUUGCCAAAAUAAAUUAUUGGAAAGUAAAGCUAUAAGAUAUGGAAUUAAAAUAAUUUAUUUGGAAAUAAAUAAUACGGAAUUUAUCGAGAAUCGAAUGAUUAAGUGAUUGAUGGACUAAAUCGGACAAAAUAAAAGUUAGAAAGUGAAGAAAAAGGAGGUGGCAACUUCAAGGACUAAAAGAGACUCUUUUCCCACUUAUUAUCAUCAAUUAAGAAUGAAUAUUCAUUCAUUCAAAACAGAAAUUGCAGCCAAAAUCCGUAACCCUCCUUCUCCAUUUCUCUCCAAAUUUCACAUGUCCAUAACUUUUUCGUUUCUCAACGAAAUUGAGCGAUUCUUGCGGCCACGGAACGAGAAAACGAUUAUCUACAAAUAUGUGGCAUUAAUUUGAGUGAGUUUAUAAGCUUGAAUUGGAUGCAAAAUGAUGAUGGAGCUAAGGUUUUCAAGGUAAGAUAAUCAAUUUUAGGUUUCAUGGAUAGUAUUCAUGGAUUGAUGAUAGUAAAGAUUAGGGUUUAUGAUGUGUAAUUGGGGUUUUUGUUUGAUUGUGUGUUGUAAGGUGAAAUUGAGCUUGAUUAAAGGGAUUUGAUGGUGAUUGUUCAUACUAGAACCAUUUGACAUAGAGGCAUCGUUCAAGACUCGAAGAAGCGACUAUCGAUAAGGCUCGAGGCGAAUGGAUCGAGAUAUCGUCGUGCUUAUUUAAAGAAUUUGGAUAGCAAGUGGGAUAGCAUGAUAUGAUUUGAAGAGUCAAGCUUCCGAAGUUUUAAUUCUCGGAAGUCAUUUGUACAAGAAGAAAAAGAAAAUUUUCAUUCUAGUAGUCCGCAGUAGUCUAGAUAUUUUAACUAGAAUUUUGUAUAACGCGUUUUUAACUCUGAUAUUAUUUGUAAAUGGGGUCACAUGUAUUUUAAUAUAUGGAAUAUGUUUUGAUU